GGAAUACUGUAUAGUGUAUUGUAUACCUUACUCAGCUAGGACCAGUUCCCAGUUCUUACUAUAUUGAAUUACUGUAUACCUUACUCAGCUAGGGUUAGUUCCUAGUUCCUACUUUAGGUAGGCUGAAAUACUGUAUAGUGUAAACCUUACUCAGCUAGGACUAGUUCCCAGUUCUUACUAUAUUGAAUUACUGUAUACCUUACUCAGCUAGGGUUAGUUCCUAGUUCCUACUUUAGGUAGGCUGAAAUACUGUAUAGUGUAAACCUUACUCAGCUAGGACUAGUUCCUAGUUCUUACUUUAGGUAGGCUGAAAUACUGCAGCUAGGACUAGUUACUCCACCAACUGUUCUAUUGAUGAUUUUCAAACAGAA
Eurytemora carolleeae is the source of this 371-nucleotide long non-coding RNA. RefSeq lists it as uncharacterized. NCBI's taxonomy places the organism in Eukaryota, Metazoa, Arthropoda, Copepoda, Calanoida, Temoridae. The transcript has 2 exons. The record is from RefSeq and is a predicted model, not a curated record.